UGAGCAAUCUGCCCUUCUCAUCGGAAUAAGCGUUGGAAACGACGUCUAAUGCCGAAUACGACCUCCUUUCGCAUGAUCGGAGGUGGAAAGCUCCGGCGGAGAAGGAUGAGCUCGCGGCCUAUCAGCUAGUUGGUGAGGUAACGGCUCACCAAGGCGACGACGGGUAGCUGGUCUGAGAGGAUGUCCAGCCACAUUGGGACUGAGACACGGCCCAGAUCCGUAACGGGG
RNAcentral lists this ribosomal RNA (228 nucleotides) under uncultured bacterium. RNAcentral describes it as "partial 16S ribosomal RNA". It matches the Rfam family "Bacterial small subunit ribosomal RNA", at positions 118 to 347 of the family's 1533-position model. The record is from RNAcentral.